AGUAAGGUCAGCUAAAAAAGCUUUCGGGCCCAUACCCCGAAAAUGAUAGUUAAAACCAAUCCCUUGCUA
This 69-nucleotide transfer RNA is filed under the name Ichthyophis glutinosus (Ceylon caecilian). Its description in RNAcentral is "tRNA-Met". Lineage: Eukaryota; Metazoa; Chordata; Amphibia; Gymnophiona; Ichthyophiidae. The record is from RNAcentral.